CCUACGGGAGGCUGCAGUAGGGAAUAUUGCUCAAUGGGGGAAACCCUGAAGCAGCAACGCCGCGUGGAGGAUGAAGGUUUUCGGAUUGUAAACCUCUUUUGUUAGAGAAGAUAAUGACGGUACCUAACGAAUAAGCACCGGCUAACUCCGUGCCAGCAGCCGCGGUAAUACGGAGGGGGCAAGCGUUAUUCGGAAUCACUGGGCGUAAAGAGCGCGUAGGCGGGAUAGCAAGUCAGAUGUGAAAUCCUAUGGCUUAACCAUAGAACUGCAUUUGAAACUGGUAGUCUAGAGUAUGGGAGAGGCAGGUGGAAGUCUUGGUGUAGGGGUGAAAUGCGUAGAGAUCAAGAGGAAUACUCGUGGCGAAGGCGACCUGCUGGAACAUAACUGACGCUGAGGCGCGAAAGCGUGGGGAGCAAACAGGAUUAGAUACCCGAGUAGUC
Molecule: ribosomal RNA, 440 nt
Filed under: uncultured bacterium
Lineage: Bacteria
Description: partial 16S ribosomal RNA
Rfam family: Bacterial small subunit ribosomal RNA
Source: RNAcentral